AUGCUUACUUCAGCAGCACAUAUACUAAAAUUGGAAUGAUACAAAGAAAAUUAGCCAUGGCCCCUGCACACGGAUGACACACAAAUUCAUGAAGCAUUCCAUAGUUUU
Molecule: small nuclear RNA, 108 nt
Organism: Pongo abelii (Sumatran orangutan)
Lineage: Eukaryota; Metazoa; Chordata; Mammalia; Primates; Hominidae
Source: Ensembl